UAAAUGCUGCAGAAUUGUGCUU
Molecule: microRNA, 22 nt
Filed under: Lepisosteus oculatus (spotted gar)
Lineage: Eukaryota; Metazoa; Chordata; Actinopteri; Semionotiformes; Lepisosteidae
Also listed under: 1 other name
Description: Loc-Mir-734_3p (mature (guide))
Source: RNAcentral